RNAcentral lists this unclassified non-coding RNA (249 nucleotides) under Hevea brasiliensis (rubber tree). The record is from RNAcentral. Lineage: Eukaryota; Viridiplantae; Streptophyta; Magnoliopsida; Malpighiales; Euphorbiaceae.
UGUUAUGGUUUUUCAAGCAGUUGAAAUAUUCAGCGUUGACACCAACCAAAAUCAUAUCAUAUGCAGAGCAGCCUAAUUACACGAUAUGGUUGCAGUAUGCGAUUCUUUCACUUCACUGGACUGCAAACAUGACUGCAGGAUCAACCUGUCAUCAAUCCUUAACAGAUUGGAGAUUAGCAUUUAACAUACCAACCCAUGAUCACAGUGCUACUAUGGAGGCUACAGCAAGUAACGCUUUUUGAAUAUUGG